Molecule: long non-coding RNA, 638 nt
Organism: Ooceraea biroi (clonal raider ant)
Lineage: Eukaryota; Metazoa; Arthropoda; Insecta; Hymenoptera; Formicidae
Source: RefSeq, a predicted model, not a curated record
GUGUUGACACCCUCUCUAGUUUAACGGCUCUCGCACGACAGCGGGCAUCCGGUGAGCACUUCUAAAGGAAGACCGAAAAUUAUUUAUGAAGAAAAUCAUCGAAAAACAAAAGCACCGUGAUCCAGGCGCAUAAUUCUGAGCUUUAGAGGCUGGACACUCCGGCGCCAAAGGAAGAGCGGUGACCGUGGCGAUUCGACCUUCGAAGGACGCAAAAUAUUGUACUCGCCACCUCGCAUUCGUGCGCGACGUCUCUUCCUCCUCUUUCUCGCCUUCGAAGCUAUACGGUUCGCCCUGUGCCACACCAUCGCCAUCGCGCCAUUGUGGCACGUAGCGUGGCUGCUUGUAAGAUCGUACUACCGAUUAGAUUGCGUCACGUGACAAAAAUAACUCCCAUCUCUCUUCCUCCCACCGAGGAUCUGGGGAGAUAUAUUGAAAGGACGGUAUUCGCCUUGCCGCAAGAAAUCUUCUCCGUGAGGGAUCUUUUUGUCUCGAAAAUCCUCUUUUUUUCUUCAGAUUCAAUGGCAAAAUAUAGUUUAUAGUUUGUAAUUCGUAAUUGAACUAUUGGAUUGUAACAUAUUAUAUGUAUAUUCCACCCUCCUGUUUUUAUAGUGUUUUAAUUUAAUAAUAUGGGUCGUAAC